UCUUGGUCAUUUAGAGGAAGUAAAAGUCGUAACAAGGUUUCCGUAGGUGAACCUGCGGAAGGAUCAUUACCGAGUUUUAGGGUCUGCGUUGUCCGAGUCAUCGGCGCGCGCCCGAAUCUCCCAACCCUUUGUUUAAUUGACCUACGUUGCUUCGGCGGACCGUGUCCUCCCUUUUCACGAAGGGAGGGCCGCCGGAUGGCCCCCUUUACCGGGGGACGUCUGGAGAGUCUUGUCCGCCGAUGGCCAACCACAAAUUAAAACUCUUGUACCUAAACGUGUCGUCUGAACAAAAACUAUUUUUGAUUGUAUAAUCAUAAAACAAAACUUUCAACAACGGAUCUCUUGGUUCUGGCAUCGAUGAAGAACGCAGCGAAAUGCGAUAAGUAAUGCGAAUUGCAGAAUUUCCGUGAGUCAUCGAAUCUUUGAACGCACAUUGCGCCCAUUGGUAUUCCGAUGGGCAUGCCUGUUCGAGCGUCAUUAUCCUCCCUCAAACCUCGUGUUUGGUGUUGGGCGAGAAAAAAAGAUUUCUUCUUUUCCGCCCCAAAGACAAUGACGGCGUCUGUUGGGACCCUCGGUGCAACGAGCUUCUUCGGAGCACGCACUGCAGUGGUUUCCUUCGGGCUGGUCUCAACCCUUUUAAUUUACCAGGUUGACCUCGGAUCAGGUAGGAAUACCCGCUGAACUUAAGCAUAUCAAUAAGCGGAGGAA
RNAcentral lists this ribosomal RNA (708 nucleotides) under Dothideomycetes sp. 2 TMS-2011. RNAcentral describes it as "eukaryotic LSU rRNA". The stretch from base 323 to 477 matches the Rfam family "5.8S ribosomal RNA". The record is from RNAcentral. Lineage: Eukaryota; Fungi; Ascomycota; Dothideomycetes.